UACAGAGGUCCCAAGCGUUGUUCGGAUUCAUUGGGCGUAAAGGGUGCGUAGGCGGCGCGGUAAGUGCCUUGUGAAAUCCCACGGCUCAACCGUGGAACUGCUUGGCAUACUGGUGGUCUUGAGCAACCUAGGGGCGAGCGGAACAAAUGGUGGAGCGGUGAAAUGCGUAGAUAUCAUUUGGAACGCCAAUGGUGAAAACAGCUCGCUGGGGGUUUGCUGACGCUGAGACACGAAAGCCAGGGGAGCAAACGGG
This 253-nucleotide ribosomal RNA is filed under the name uncultured bacterium. Its description in RNAcentral is "partial 16S ribosomal RNA". It matches the Rfam family "Bacterial small subunit ribosomal RNA", at positions 524 to 776 of the family's 1533-position model. The record is from RNAcentral.